This 509-nucleotide ribosomal RNA is filed under the name uncultured Lactobacillus sp. RNAcentral's name for it is "bacterial SSU rRNA". It matches the Rfam family "Bacterial small subunit ribosomal RNA", at positions 311 to 812 of the family's 1533-position model. Lineage: Bacteria; Bacillati; Bacillota; Bacilli; Lactobacillales; Lactobacillaceae. The record is from RNAcentral.
CAUUGGGACUGAGACACGGCCCAAACUCCUACGGGAGGCAGCAGUAGGGAAUCUUCCACAAUGGACGAAAGUCUGAUGGAGCAACGCCGCGUGAGUGAUGAAGGGUUUCGGCUCGUAAAACUCUGUUGUUGGAGAAGAACAGGUGUCAGAGUAACUGUUGACAUCUUGACGGUAUCCAACCAGAAAGCCACGGCUAACUACGUGCCAGCAGCCGCGGUAAUACGUAGGUGGCAAGCGUUGUCCGGAUUUAUUGGGCGUAAAGCGAGCGCAGGCGGUUUUUUAGGUCUGAUGUGAAAGCCUUCGGCUUAACCGGAGAAGUGCAUCGGAAACCGGGAGACUUGAGUGCAGAAGAGGACAGUGGAACUCCAUGUGUAGCGGUGAAAUGCGUAGAUAUAUGGAAGAACACCAGUGGCGAAGGCGGCUGUCUGGUCUGUAACUGACGCUGAGGCUCGAAAGCAUGGGUAGCGAACAGGAUUAGAUACCCUAGUAGUCCAUGCCGUAAACGAUGA